Molecule: long non-coding RNA, 559 nt
Filed under: Nicotiana benthamiana
Lineage: Eukaryota; Viridiplantae; Streptophyta; Magnoliopsida; Solanales; Solanaceae
Description: long non-coding RNA (NBEN_LNC031129)
Source: RNAcentral
UUACACAAGUAUAAAUACAAUCAAGGAAUGUAAAAUAACUUAAUUCAUAAGAGAACCAGAUAAAGGACAUGAAGCAUGCCUAGAAAAAUCAUUCAAGUUAAAUAGUCAAGAUAAUCUGGGAAGUGUGCUUUACAUUCACAGGAACCAGAUUAGAGACAUGAUACCUUGGUGUUCUCCUAACAGAAGUAUAAGUCAACUGAACAACUGGAAAGCAAUUGCAAAAAGUGACUGCAUGUAAUAGUGCACCAGAUAGUGCAAUAAUCACUUCCCAAUUAGAUUGGACAUCACCAUUGUGAAUUGACAUCACUAAGUAAUGUAUUUUGUAGAAUAAACCUUAUACAAGGCACAAGAUUCAGGUUCCAAGAGUUGCAAAACCAGAAAUGAAAAUCCUCUCUCAAGUGCAAGAACAACCUUUCUCAAGAACAAAGCUACUUCAACCUCAAGGACCGGAUCCAAGAUUGAAGAUAUCUUAAGUCCUUAGGAUUGUUUAGUCUUCGUUAUUUUUUCUUCAAUUGUAACUCCUAUGUUUCUUUCUUAGAAGCUGUGUUUUAGGAAACCC